GAUGAACGCUAGCUACAGGCUUAACACAUGCAAGUCGAGGAGCAUCAGGAAGAAAGCUUGCUUUCUUUGCUGGCGACCGGCGCACGGGUGAGUAACACGUAUCCAACCUGCCCUUUACUCGGGGAUAGCCUUUCGAAAGAAAGAUUAAUACCCGAUAGCAUAAUGAUUCCGCAUGGUUUCAUUAUUAAAGGAUUCCGGUAAAGGAUGGGGAUGCGUUCCAUUAGGUUGUUGGUGAGGUAACGGCUCACCAAGCCUUCGAUGGAUAGGGGUUCUGAGAGGAAGGUCCCCCACAUUGGAACUGAGACACGGUCCAAACUCCUACGGGAGGCAGCAGUGAGGAAUAUUGGUCAAUGGGCGGUAGCCUGAACCAGCCAAGUAGCGUGAAGGAUGAAGGCUCUAUGGGUCGUAAACUUCUUUUAUAUAAGAAUAAAGUGCAGUAUGUAUACUGUUUUGUAUGUAUUAUAUGAAUAAGGAUCGGCUAACUCCGUGCCAGCAGCCGCGGUAAUACGGAGGAUCCGAGCGUUAUCCGGAUUUAUUGGGUUUAAAGGGAGCGUAGGUGGACUGGUAAGUCAGUUGUGAAAGUUUGCGGCUCAACCGUAAAAUUGCAGUUGAUACUGUCAGUCUUGAGUACAGUAGAGGUGGGCGGAAUUCGUGGUGUAGCGGUGAAAUGCUUAGAUAUCACGAAGAACUCCGAUUGCGAAGGCAGCUCACUGGACUGCAACUGACACUGAUGCUCGAAAGUGUGGGUAUCAAACAGG
Molecule: ribosomal RNA, 758 nt
Filed under: Bacteroides fragilis
Lineage: Bacteria; Pseudomonadati; Bacteroidota; Bacteroidia; Bacteroidales; Bacteroidaceae
Description: bacterial SSU rRNA
Rfam family: Bacterial small subunit ribosomal RNA
Source: RNAcentral